CUGCCAAUUGGAUUCUUCAAACAAUAAAAAGAAUUUGACAGAUGGCAGCUACAUAAUACUAUUGAAGCAAAAAAAAGUACCGGUAGUUAUUUUGCAGAUUUAAGGUCAAUUCAGAUACUCAUAAUAAUAUUUGAACUGCAGGUAUGACAAGUCUUACACUAUUACAAUUCAGCACAGAGCGAUACUCGAGAACAAGGAUUUUCAACUUGUUUCAGUCCUUUAUGAGCACCAUGAGUGUACACAGAUGCCCUCUAUCAGAUUUUUCUUCUUAUUAUUGCUUGAAUAGACCAAUUGAUGGUGCAUGUGAUGGCAUCUUUUUUUGUGAUGUCUCACAAUCCAUGGGUGAU
Molecule: long non-coding RNA, 347 nt
Filed under: Androctonus crassicauda
Lineage: Eukaryota; Metazoa; Arthropoda; Arachnida; Scorpiones; Buthidae
Source: RNAcentral